UAAAUGCCGAACAGUGAAUGCUCCAUUCGCCAGUCGAAGAAUUGUAGUCAUUGCUUGUGCUUCGUUUACCAAUAACUUUUAUUGUCUAUUCUUCGAACGGUCGACAAUUCAUAAUUUUUCAUCUGCAACAUCAACUACAAAUUCAAAAUGAAAACAUUCUCGGUGGUGGUUCUACUAGCACUGGUCAUCGUCAUCGUCAUCGGAACGGACUCUGCAGCCGUUUCUACAGAUUAUGAUGAUUCGAAUGAUAAUUCAUUUGGUGAAAAAACGCAUGAUUUUUUCCGGUACGCCCGCAGUGCUGAAAAAUACACUAAGGUCGGCUCCAAGCAUCCACUGUAUGUGUUUUUCAAAAGUCUGUUCAAACUUCUAUCGAAAAUAUUCUCUGCCGAAAAUGCCAUACAAACUGCUCCUGAUUUAUAUCAAAACAAUACUUAAAUAUAAACACAAUGGGUGAACAUGGGCAGUAUAACAAAAUACAUAUUCACAAGGUAUAUAAUAUGAUAUUCUUUUACUAUUUAUUUACUAUUUUUUCAUUUAUACAACACAGAUUCGAUUUAAUGAUUUAAUGUCAUAUUAUAUUCCUAUGUUAAUUGCUAUAGUUAUUACAAACAAUCUUAGUGCAUUAUACUAUACUUAAAUUAGAAACAAUACAAAUAUAAUAUUCAAUAUUAGUAAUCUUAUUAUGUAUUAUAAAGUCACAGCUAUCUAAUAUUGUGUUAAAUAUUAUGUUAUUCUAUGCAAUUAUAUGUUAUUUUUUAAAUUAUUUUUUGUUUUUUUUUCAUAAUAAAUAAAAUAUAGUUUAAAUA
Long non-coding RNA from Rhopalosiphum maidis (corn leaf aphid), 806 nucleotides. RefSeq lists it as uncharacterized. The transcript has 4 exons. The record is from RefSeq and is a predicted model, not a curated record. NCBI's taxonomy places the organism in Eukaryota, Metazoa, Arthropoda, Insecta, Hemiptera, Aphididae.